Molecule: microRNA precursor, 83 nt
Organism: Chlorocebus sabaeus (green monkey)
Lineage: Eukaryota; Metazoa; Chordata; Mammalia; Primates; Cercopithecidae
Source: Ensembl
AGGUCAGUGCAAAAAUCAUUGCAGUUUUUUACCAUUACUUUUAAUGGCAAAAACUGCAAUUACUUUUGCACCAACCUAAUAUU